This 21-nucleotide non-coding RNA is filed under the name Arabidopsis thaliana (thale cress). Lineage: Eukaryota; Viridiplantae; Streptophyta; Magnoliopsida; Brassicales; Brassicaceae. The record is from RNAcentral.
UGGCGGGUCGAAACGAGCGUC